Molecule: unclassified non-coding RNA, 608 nt
Filed under: Sinocapsa zengkensis CHAB6751
Lineage: Bacteria; Bacillati; Cyanobacteriota; Cyanophyceae; Chroococcidiopsidales; Sinocapsaceae
Description: partial contains 16S ribosomal RNA and 16S-23S ribosomal RNA intergenic spacer
Rfam family: Bacterial small subunit ribosomal RNA (bases 1-153)
Source: RNAcentral
UUGUACACACCGCCCGUCACACCAUGGAAGUUGGUUUUGCCCGAAGUCGUUACCCCAACCGCAAGGAGGGGGACGCCGAAGGCAGGGCUGAUGACUGGGGUGAAGUCGUAACAAGGUAGCCGUACCGGAAGGUGUGGCUGGAUCACCUCCUUUUCAGGGAGACCAACUGGAAUGCAGAAGUCGGAAUGAUGAAUGAGGAAUUAUUUCAGCAUUCAUCGUUCAUAAGUCAUCAUUCCCAGACAUCCCAAGGUCGGUCGAAGAAUAGUGGUGAGGCUUUCAAACUAUAUUGGUUCGGUUAAUUGGGCUAUUAGCUCAGGUGGUUAGAGCGCACCCCUGAUAAGGGUGAGGUCCCUGGUUCGAGUCCAGGAUGGCCCACGUUGAAAAAAAAAGUGUGAUAGAAAAGUAUUGUUGAGAAAAAUUUCAGCAACUGAACGAUAUGAAAAUCGUCAGACUGCUGGAAACGUUUCCAGCCAGAACCUUGAAAACUGCAUAGUAACGCGAAAAUCGCAGACACAGAGCAAACGUAAGUAAUUACGUUGAACUAGUGUCUGGAGACACCAAUGUGGUCAAGCUAAUACGGCUGACGGUGGAUACCUAGGCACACAGAG